GACGAACGCUGGCGGCGUGCUUAACACAUGCAAGUCGAACGGGCCUUGUCCCCUUUUUUUUUGGGGGUGGGGUUAGUGGCGAACGGGUGAGUAACACGUGAGUAACCUGCCCCUCACUUCUGGAUAACCGCUUGAAAGGGUGGCUAAUACGGGGUGUUCUGGCCUGCUCGCAUGGGUGGGUUUGGAAAGAUUCGACCGGUUUUGGUUGUUUUGGUGGGGGAUGGGCUCGCGGCCUAUCAGCUUGUUGGUGGGGUGAUGGCCUGCCAAGGCUUGGACGGGUAGCCGGCCUGAGAGGGUGGGCGGUCACACUGGGACUGAGACACGGCCCAGACUCCUACGGGAGGCAGCAGUGGGGAAUAUUGCACAAUGGGCGCAAGCCUGAUGCAGCGACGCCGCGUGAGGGAUGGAGGCCUUCGGGUUGUGAACCUCUUUCGCCAGUGAAGAAGGUCCUGCUCUUUGUGGUGGGGUUGACGGUAGCUGGGUUAAUGAAGCGCCGGCUAACUACGUG
Molecule: ribosomal RNA, 508 nt
Filed under: uncultured bacterium
Lineage: Bacteria
Description: partial 16S ribosomal RNA
Rfam family: Bacterial small subunit ribosomal RNA
Source: RNAcentral